CCGCGCGCCUUCCUCAGCCGCUGUUAACCCCGGGGUCUAGAGAAGCACUGAGAGGACUCCUCAGCCUGGCGCUGUGCACAAUUAAAAUAGCAGAGUUCCCAUCUCCAAGGAAUUUGCAACCAUAGACAGCACAGUGAAGACAGGUGUUAACUUGAAGGCAGCGCACAAACGAUCUCCUGCCCUGGGAGAAGCCAGCUGCCAUAUCAUGAGAACGUGUAAGCAUCCUUGAGGAGCGGUCCAUGUGCUUUCCAGUGACUGCAGCCCUGGCCAACCUCUUGAUGGCCUCCUCAUGAGAGCUGAUGAGCCAGGACCACCCAGUGAAGCCAUUCCUGGAUUCGUGUCCUGCAGACACGGUGCAGCAGGUACUGGGGACUGGUUGCCACCAUUACAGCAUUAGUUGGUGCUAUAGACUGAAUUCUCUGUGCAUGCACCAAGCAAAGGCCAUGUGAGGACAUACCAGGAAAAGGCCCUCACCAGACACCAAAUCUGC
This 490-nucleotide long non-coding RNA is filed under the name Homo sapiens (human). Its description in RNAcentral is "HSALNT0356716". Lineage: Eukaryota; Metazoa; Chordata; Mammalia; Primates; Hominidae. The record is from RNAcentral.